GACUUUGCAAGUGCACAGGCUGGGCUUGAGUUAUGAUGGCCGCAUAUGUCAUGAGACCAAUUUCCGCAUGACAUGCAUGUUACAGUAUUAUUUGAAUAUAUGGAAAGAAAAAUAAAGAAAUAAAUUCAUCAUGAGCCAGGGAUGGGAUCAUAAUAAGAGUGGAAACAGCAUUUCAAAAUAAAGGACAGUUUACAAUAUCUAUUACAAAAUGGCGACAUCUGUAGAUGCAGGUCAAAGUGGUUCAGAUUCCGUGAAGGACAAUGUUUGUGGAGGUUGCGAAAGCAGAACAAUUUAUGAAAUUGAUUAUUUUUGUGCAACAUGUACGAAGUUUUUCUGCAGAAAAUGCAUUGAUCAUCAUGAUCAAAUAUAUGCAAACCAUACUAAAUAUGGAAGAGGAGAAACAAAUACAUGGCCUGUUACAAAGACUUGGAGGAAUUGCUACUGAACUGUGCUGUCCACAAAGAGGAGAAACUGAAAAUGUUUUGUCAGGACCACAGUCAGCUGUGUUGCAAUUAUUGUGUUUUACUGAAUCACAGACAGUGUACAAAUAUUGCUCUCAUUUUUAAGUCAACCAAAAACCUGUCAAUGGAUAUGCAAAAGUUAUCAAACAAACUGCAAACUAUUGUUGGAGAACUGAAUAAGUUUAAGAGUAAACAAGAGGCCAGCAUUCAGUCCGUGGAGGUAUCAUGUAAUGACAAACUGCGAGAAAUCAAAGACCUUCGAAAGAAAUUAAAUGCUGCUUUGGAUGCACUAGAAAAAACAACCUUGACAGAUCUCGAUGAAAUUCGGACCGCAAUGCUAACCUCUCUCAAGAAAGAUGUUGAAAACUGCAGCAGACUGAGGGAUGACUUGCAAACACUCAGUGAAGCUGUAAAUGGCCUUUGUGAUAAGAUUAGGAAAGAACUUGAGCUCAUAGCCAGCAGAAAAUGUAUGGACAAAAUAAAAGAGUCUGAGUCAUAUCUAAAGAAAAUGUAAAGGUUCAGAGUUUUAUAUUCACAGCAAACACUGACAUUGAGCAAUACCUGUUUACACAGUCUAGUUUAGGAAGGAUUGUAGGCAAUAUGCAACCCCUCACUGUGAAGAGCAAAUCAGUGUAUAGUGUGAGCAUACCAAGUGACACAUAUAAAGUCUUCCAAAUCAAUGGCAUUUGCUGCCUGCCUAUCGGCCAGGUCAUUGUUGCAGAUUACCAUAAUAAGAAAGUGAAACUGUUAGACCAGCAUUACAAUGUUUCCAGUCACUGUGAUGUGUCUGGUCAUGCAUGGGACAUUUGCCAAAUCACAUCCAGUAUGGUGACUGUAACUGGUGCAGGUGUGCAGUUUUUAUCUGUGAGCAAUGAAAAUCUGGUGAGUUGAAAAAAGAUUUCAUUACAGCAUGAUGUCCUAGGUAUUGCACACCAUAAGCGAGUGUUGUAUAUCACCUCUGGCAAUUCCCUGCAACACUUCAAUAUGACUGGGACACUUGUGAAAAACUGUAUGAGGAUGCUGGGGGCACUUUUAAUGUGUUUUACUGUGCAGUGAGUCCUGCAGGAGAUAGGAUCUAUGUCACCAACAAAAAGCAGCACAAGCUUCUCACUCUGGCUACAGAUGGAACCCUGAUAUCCACCUUUGAGCACACUGAACUACAAGGCACAAGGCUUGUACACGUAACACCUGCAGGACAAGUGUUUGUUUGCGGAUACGAUUCCAAUUAUGUCAUACAAGUGGAUCAUGAGGGAAAAAAAGAAACUAGCAACUCUGGCUUCACAAAAAGAUGGACGCUGGAAUACAGCCUCUGUCUGCUACAACACCAACACUCACCAGAUCAUUGUGGGACUAUUGAAUAACAGUGAAAUCAUUGUUAUGGACUUGCAAUAGCUCUUCCAUUGGAUGAAAACAUUUACCAAAAACACUUUUUAAACAUAAUUGCCCCUUUUUCUGUGAAUGGCUUUUUCAGUAUUAGCAAUUUAUAUUUAGUUAAAGAAAAAACAUACUCAUAGAGUUUAAUUUUGUAAUGAACAAGUAAUUUAACUAAUUGAAAAUCAGUUGUUUUAAUGCUUGAAAGAUUGCACCAUUUUAAACAUGAAACAAUCUAUAAUGUUGACUCUGAUUAGUUCUUUCAUGUUUUAAUGCACAGUUAUACAUGUUUUAUGUUAAGUAAUAAUUAAGAUGUAUACACAUUUGAUUAUUUAUAAAUUUUGAUGUUAUUCAUUACUCAUUAGUUAUUGUUGAGGAACAAAUGUUUCUAUGUCAUUUAUUCUUUUCUUGUAUAAAUUUAAAAAAUAA
Long non-coding RNA from Dreissena polymorpha, 2261 nucleotides. RefSeq lists it as uncharacterized. The record is from RefSeq and is a predicted model, not a curated record. Lineage: Eukaryota; Metazoa; Mollusca; Bivalvia; Myida; Dreissenidae. The transcript has 4 exons.